RNAcentral lists this ribosomal RNA (465 nucleotides) under uncultured bacterium. RNAcentral's name for it is "partial 16S ribosomal RNA". It matches the Rfam family "Bacterial small subunit ribosomal RNA", at positions 28 to 506 of the family's 1533-position model. The record is from RNAcentral.
GAUGAACGCUGGCGGCGUGCUUAACACAUGCAAGUCGAACGAUGAAGCCCAGCUUGCUGGGUGGAUUAGUGGCGAACGGGUGAGUAACACGUGAGUAACCUGCCCUUAACUCUGGGAUAAGCCUGGGAAACUGGGUCUAAUACCGGAUAGGAGCGUCCACCGCAUGGUGGGUGUUGGAAAGAUUUAUCGGUUUUGGAUGGACUCGCGGCCUAUCAGCUUGUUGGUGAGGUAAUGGCUCACCAAGGCGACGACGGGUAGCCGGCCUGAGAGAGUGACCGGCCACACUGGGACUGAGACACGGCCCAGACUCCUACGGGAGGCAGCAGUGGGGAAUAUUGCACAAUGGGCGCAAGCCUGAUGCAGCGACGCCGCGUGAGGGAUGACGGCCUUCGGGUUGUAAACCUCUUUCAGUAGGGAAGAAGCGAAAGUGACGGUACCUGCAGAAGAAACACCGGCUAACUACGU